UCAGCUGGUAGAGCAGAGGACUGAAAAUC
This 29-nucleotide transfer RNA is filed under the name Geranium crenophilum. Its description in RNAcentral is "partial tRNA-Phe". RNAcentral also lists the same sequence under 1 other name. The record is from RNAcentral. Lineage: Eukaryota; Viridiplantae; Streptophyta; Magnoliopsida; Geraniales; Geraniaceae.